This is an RNA transcript of Stegastes partitus (bicolor damselfish), 7055 nucleotides long. It is a transcript of the gene named transmembrane protein 63B-like, with no coding region annotated. NCBI's taxonomy places the organism in Eukaryota, Metazoa, Chordata, Actinopteri, Pomacentridae. The record is from RefSeq and is a predicted model, not a curated record. The transcript is spliced from 25 exons.
AACUCCUCUUCUGUCAGCAGAACCAUGCAGCCCAGAGAGAAGGACGCCUCUCUGAUUGAUGAAGUGAAAUGUGAUCUGAAGCUCAGAUUUGGUUCCGUUUUCCUGCAGCGAUUAUCAGUGAAUGAUCUGCAGCUGGUGUUUUAAUCAGCGCGAGUAGUUUUAAUAAACUCUCUGAUUUCAGCUUCUUCAGUGAAUGUUUCUGGUUUCUUUCCUCUCUGACACUAAACUAAACAUCUCUGGACCAAACAAGACGUUUGAGGAACCUCUGAUCCUCGUGUUCUCUGCGAGGAUGCGGCAGUGAGCAUGCUCAGAGUGCUGAUCGUUACCAUGGCGAUAUUCGGUGGCGGCGGCCAGGCGUGCAGCGGUCAGGACAACUGCUCGGCCAACAGCGAGUCCAGAGACUACUGCUACUCAGCUCGCAUCCGCAGCACCGUGCUGCAGGGGCUGGUCUUCGGCGGCGUGCCCACCGUGCUCGCCCUCGACUUCAUGUGCUUCCUGGUGCUGCUCUUCGUCUUCUCCAUUCUGAGGAAGGUCGCGUGGGAUUAUGGCCGCCUGGCGCUGGUCACCGACGCCGACAGGCUGAAGAAGCGCUUCGGCGAGCGGGACGAGCGGGAAUACGUUGCCUCGGCGAUGCAUUCAGAGACACCGGACCGCUACGAACGGCUCACCUCCGUCUCCAGCUCCGUCGACUUCGACCAGAGAGACAACGGAUUCUGUUCGUGGCUGACGGCAAUUUUCAGAAUAAAGGACGAGGAGAUCAGGGAGAAGUGUGGUGAAGACGCCGUCCACUACUUGUCCUUCCAGCGCCACAUCAUCGGGCUGCUGGUCGUGGUCGGGGUUCUGUCCGUCGGCAUCGUGCUGCCGGUGAACUUCUCUGGAGACCUGCUGGAAAACAACGCUUACAGCUUCGGACGCACCACGAUAGCCAACCUCAAGUCUGGGACGAACCUGUUGUGGCUCCACACUUCGUUUGCCUUCAUGUACCUGCUCCUGACCGUCUACAGCAUGAGGAGACACACGUCCAAGAUGCACUACAAGGAGGACGACCUGGUGAAACGCACUUUAUUCAUUAAUGGCAUCUCUAAAUACGCUGAGGAGAGUCAGAUCAAGCAGCACUUUGAGCAGGCGUAUGAGAACUGCACGGUGCUGGAGGCUCGCAUCUGCUACAACGUGGCCAAGCUGAUGUCGCUGAACGCCGAGAGGAAGAAGACGGAGCGCAGCAAGAAGUUCUUCACCGACCUGAUGGCGAAGGAACACGUUCCCACCAUGAUCAACCCCAAACCCUGCGGACACCUGUGCUGCUGCGCCAUCGCCGGCUGCGAGGAGGAGGAGGCGGUUAGCUACUACACCAAGAGGGAGGCCAAGCUGAAGGAGGAGUACCGCAAGGAGAAGGAGAAGGUCCACACCAAACCACUGGGCAUGGCCUUCGUCACCUUCCAGAACGAGGCCAUGACCGCCAUCAUUCUGAAGGACUUCAACGCCUGCCAGGUUCAGGGUUGUCGGUGUCGUCAGGAGCCACGUUCCUCCCAGUUCAGCGACGUUCUCCACGUUCACAACUGGAGCGUUUCCUACGCGCCCGAUCCGCAGAACGUCCGCUGGGAGAACCUGUCGCUGGGCGGAAUCUCCUGGUGGAUCCGCUGCUUCGUGAUCAACUGCAUCCUCUUCAUCCUGCUCUUCUUCCUCACCACGCCCGCCAUCAUCAUCUCCACCAUGGACAAGUUCAACGUCACCAAGCCCGUCGAGUAUCUCAACAAUCCUAUCAUCACUCAGUUCUUCCCCACUCUGCUGCUCUGGGCUUUCUCUGCUCUGCUGCCCACCAUCGUCUACUAUUCUGCCUUCUUCGAGGCUCACUGGACCAGGUCUGGAGAGAACAGGACUACGAUGCACAAGUGCUACACCUUCCUGAUCUUCAUGGUUCUGCUGCUGCCGUCUCUCGGACUCAGCAGUCUGGACGUUUUCUUCCGCUGGCUGUUCGAUAAGAAGUUUCUGGCUGAUGCCAAAGUCAGGUUUGAGUGCGUCUUCCUGCCGGAUAACGGAGCGUUCUUCGUCAAUUACGUCAUCGCGUCGGCGUUCAUCGGAAACGCCAUGGACCUGCUGCGGAUCCCCGGCCUGCUCAUGUACAUGAUCCGGCUGUGCCUGGCUCGCUCCGCCGCUGACCGCCGCAACGUCAAGAGGCAUCAGGCCUACGAGUUCCAGUUCGGAGCAGCGUACGCCUGGAUGAUGAACGUCUUCACCGUGGUGAUGGCCUACAGCAUCACCUGCCCCAUCAUCGUACCCUUCGGUCUGAUGUACAUGCUGCUGAAACACCUGGUGGACCGGUACAACAUGUACUACGCCUACCUGCCCUCCAAACUAGACAAGAAGAUCCACUCCGGAGCCGUCACCCAGGUGGUGGCCGCGCCCAUCCUCUGCCUCUUCUGGCUGCUCUUCUUCUCCACCGUACGCACAGGCUUCAAGACGCCGACCUCCAUGUUCACUCUGGUGGUGCUGACCGUCACCAUCGUGGUCUGUCUGUCGCACGUCUGCUUCGGACACUUCAAGUAUCUCAGCGCUCACAACUACAAGAUCGACACCAAGGAGAACGACGUGGACGCUGUUGAGAACGGACGUCCGGCUCGUCCCUCGUCCUCCCCCACCACCAAGUCUCAGCAGCAGCAGCAGCAGCAGCAGAUGUACAUCGCUCAGGUGCUUCAGGACCCAAACUCGGAUGAGCCGGGCGGCGGUAGCAGCGAGGAGGACCGAGGCUCGUCCCAGGACGAGGAGAUGCUGAACGGAGGGAACAGCAUCAACGAGGCGGAUUUCCAGUCAGGGGAGGACAGUCUGAUCGCCAACGAGGUCCACCAGUAGCUGGGGGCGGAGCUAGUUGAGGGCCAUACCUACACAACAGUUAAGCUGACUGAAGAAUCACUACACACACAAACACUCAUACAGUAGACUGGCGCGAUUAGCUCCACCCCCCUUUCAGCUUGAAGACUUGACCCUGACCUUCGACGCCGGCGCCGGGUCGCCAACAUCCAGUCCUGCCCUCCUGUGGAAAGUGGAGGGACCCUAAACUGUGUCCACAGGAAGUCACUGUAAAUAACCACAAAGCCAAAAUUUUUCUUUUUUGUUGUUUUUUGUCGGGUGGGUGCGGGGUUCAAAAAUUUGUGCCUGGGCUGGAUUUCGUUCGUUCGCACUCGUGUCUUGACUCCUGAUCCCAGUGCGGGUCGCAAGGACUCGACCCGUCGAGGGGUCAUAGCUGACGCUGACGCGGUCCUUUUUCUUGGCCUGGUGACGUCUUCAAACGAACCCGCUGCGUCGCCGCCAUCCUCCAGUGUUGGAGCGCUAAAUAACUCGCCAACCGCCAGUUCUCGUAGUGGUAGAAGCCUCGCUUACGCAGACGCACUGCAGUCCCUCUUCCCUGUCGGCCGUCCCUCCGUCGCUCUGUGGAUCUUGCCGGUUCGUUCAACACAUCACAUGGAAGCUUUGUUUUUCUGACCUGCCGAGCUUUCGCUGCAUGUUGUUCAAAGUGCUGUCUGGAUGUCGCCACCUUCGGAUGACGUCAUUCACCGCUGGCCAAUGAACUCGCCACGCUUCCACAUCGAUUUCAGCAGCACAUCGUCCCACCAGCUGGAUGAGCGUUUUCAGCUUCGCCGCUUCCGUUGGACCGAUCCUCGAAUCACUGGGCUCGCCGGAGGACGCUUUCUUUUCUGGUUUUGAUUUCACCUGAACUACCUUAAAUCGUGAAUACCUGACAAAGGGAGCGGGGAUGUUUGUGUCUGUGUAGGUUUAGCAAUCAAAACUCUUUCCAUUUGUCAGAACUGUGUGAAGUCACUCUGACUCUUCCAGCAGCAGCAGCAGCAGAGUAGUCUGGUAGACGCAGAAGAGCAGCGCUUUUCGGCCGGACGGUCUACCCUCGACGCCUGAAGCUGUCAGGACUUUCAAGGGAAAUGUUUUCUGUCCUGUGUGUGUUUUGACGUGUGCGCUGUCAGCCUGUCUGUGUGUGUCCAGUAGCUUUUUGAACACCAACCUGCAUCAUUAAGGGUUCAGCAGCAUCACCAGGUAACCAAAAACACUGCAACACCUGGCUCACAGGUCCCAGUGUUUCUCAAACUGAACAUCCAUCUACUGUAGAAUCAGUGCAGCAAGAUGUUUCCUUCACUUUGGUACAAAACGUCUGUUUAGAAACACAGUCAUGUUUUCACAUCAACAAUAGUCUGUUUUUACUGCAUUACUGCUACAAGUUUCAUCUCUCUGUCACAGUGGUUGUUUAGCCUAGCUUAGCACAAAGUUAGCUCCAUGUCUGUCUCACUCACACCGACGCUUUCCACUGCAGGAAUCUUUGUCAGUGUUUUACAGGAACAGCCCUUUUCUGACCACCAAGUUAACUCUGGGCGCAAAAAAAUGACAAAUCGUAGCUAUUGGAUGUAGCUGCAGUUGUAUGUCGUAGAUAGAGCUACGGCGCUUUGUUGUGUUGACUUAAAUAGAGAACUUCUGUAGAGGUGGAAGUUCUACCGGGGAGGUUCCUGUGGUCGCACAAAGACGACCUGCAAGUUCCUGCAGUGAAAAGAACUCUUGUUAUAUCCACCUAGCUAACGGCUAACAUAAUAUUGGUCCUACAGACCUCAGCUUGUUAGCAUCUCUUAGCGGUCACAGUGCUUUGACUUAUCAGUGCACAUGUCGUAUGUGUUUUGCUACAAAGGGAAAACUGCUAAGCUACGUCCUUAAAAAGACAGAAAAGAGAUGAUUGUUGUUUGCUUUAGCAAAGCUAACGAUUUGCAUAGUUUGACAAAUAUCUAAAUAUUAGCUUCUUAGUCCUGUUAGCUUAGAAUUUGUCUCAUAUGUUGGCAUCUAUUUUCAUAUGGAGUUAAACUUUGCUACCUUUUGACCAACAAACUCGCACCCUUGACCAGUUUUAAACCAGAUCGCACUUCCUAAGUGACAGUUCUUGAGUCUGCCUGCUGGUUAACGAUGUAGCUUUAGUUCUUGAGUUUACUAGCUUACAACAAAAUUAGCAUUAGCAGCUUAAGUUAAUGAGUUUACUAGCUUGUUAACAAACUGGUUUUAGUUUUUGGUUUUGUCAGCAGUUGCCAAACAAGCUCCAGUUAAUGUGCUUAUUUGCUUUUUGAUAAUCUAGUUUGAUUUUGAGGUUGUUAAAUGCUAACUAGUUGUACUUCGUUUUUAGCAACAGCUUGAAAACUAGUUCCCAACAAUGUACCUUGAUUGAUGAUGAUGAUUCUUGAGUUUAUUUGCCUGCUAACAUGCUAGCUUUAGCUUUGAAAUAUUGGCAUUGUAUAAAUAGUGGUAGUUGAAAUUAGCUAGCUUUGUUCUUCAGUUACUUCGUCUUCUAGCAAAAUAGCUCCAGAUCUUCACUUCAUCAGCCUAUGAAGAGACUGAGUGCUGGUUCCUGAUUUUGUUAGCAAGCUAGCAAAGUAACUCUAAUUCUUGAGCCUACUAGUUUGCUAACAAAUGAGCUUUCAUGACUUGAAUAAUUUGCUAUGUGACAGUUGGCUUGCUAGCCUAGAGAGCUUUGUCCCUCUUCAGUAACUCAUCACAGAGUGAAAUGAUAAACAGUCCCAGGAACAAAUGAUGAGUGUGGCGGCAGUUAGCUUGCAGGCUACACCAGGCUACCAGCUAACCUUGUGAGUAGUGGCUUCAGCGCUGACUUUCUAUUUGCACAAAGGUGUGCCACAGCUGAAAGCACAUUAGAAGGUGAUUUUUUUCUCUCUCUCUUGGUGGAGCUAAGCUAACCUAAUUCCCAUUGCUUCCAAACUUUGUGCUAUGCUAGGCUAAACAGGUCCUGGACACUGGUUGAAAGAAGACCAGUGAAUCAAAAGGUGGGGUGAAGUUUUCUCUGACCGCAGGUUGAGUUUGAACUAGUCUGACUCAACGGAUGUAGACGGUGGGUUUAGCUUGGGUCCUUCCCUUCUGAUAUUUACCAGUUCACCGUUUUCAGAUCCCCUUCAUGAAACAACCUCUGAGCAGCAACGCUGAACAUUUGGCAGUUUCCUGGGGAUUUGGAUCAUACAGCCGGUUCCUGGUGAUUCUAGAGCAGUUCCUCCAUCACACUGUCCUUAUGUCCUGAGACGAAGGGGAUGGGUUGACGGACUACAAACAUGGCAGAGCUUUUAUUUUCCCCUAAAAGCAGAAUGAGUCAGAGCGCUCUACGACGAGGACAUAGUCUCAGGUGUUGUUUUCUUUUCCUAAAAUAAUGUUUACAUCAGUUUUGGUUGCUUGUUUUUCUUGUGAUUUUUUCUGCAGUGUGUGUUUGUGUGUGUGUGUGGGUGUGUGUGUGUGUGUGUGUGUGUGUCUGACACGGAGCUGGACUAUGAAAGCUGUAGCCUCCAGGCAGGACGCUGGGCGGCGCCGGUUUGGUGGCUACACGCCGGAGAACCUGCAGCAUUUGUGUCUCGUGUUGUUUGUCCCGGUCACCUCCUGGGGGCGCUGCUGCGGUGCUCCGCCCUGAUUGUAUGCACAUGAAGCUGAAGGAGAACUCGGCCUCUGAUCCAAGGCUCUGGGUUCAGCUCGGCGGCCCUCGGCCUCUGAAACAUGACCGUCAGCAGCCAUCCUGAGUCCAGCUCUUUGUUGAGCUGUCGUGUUCUGGCUCAUUCUCAUGGCCUCAUUUGAGCCCAACCCGGACUCAGUUCAUAAUUAGACCCGACCCAAAUAGACACCAGUCAGUGAACAGCUGAGAGGACAGAACCGCCGCCCUGGGCUGUCCUGGUUCUGCAGGUCAGAGGCGGUUCUGAGCGGCCGGACCGGAGGCUGAGGGUCCAGGUGGUUUUUUGUAUCUGCAGUAUUCGAUGUUCCGGAUCGUUGGUUUACUGCUGAAGGUUCUGAAGAGUCAGCCGCUGCUCUUUGCUUUCUUAGUUUUUUAAAUUGUUGAGAUGUGAACAGAGGAAUGUGAAGCGAGCUGAAAGCAGCUGAAGCGUGGACAGACCGAGCUGUGUGUAAAUAGCAUCACUUCACGCUUUAAUUUGUUGCUGUGACUAUUUAUUUUUACUUUGGUUCCGUGUGUACAGUGAAACAUUCGUCCUAUUUAUGUUACUUGAUCAAUAAAAUUGGCUUUCAUCUGU